UUUAAGAUUUAUUUAGAAAUGGGUUAGAAAUGAAAACAUAUAAAAGAAAAAGGGAAAGGGGUUAACUUGGUGAGGUUCUCGUUGGACCCAAAAGAAGGGAAUGGGGUUAAUUUGAUGGAAAUCCCUAAAACAAAUCAUUUCCUGUACUCUCUUCUCCUCUCACCCCGACGGCGAUAAUGGGCCGGUUGUCGGCAGCUUCAAACCGGUGGAGAAGAAUUACAAUGGCUGGUUUAUGAAGUUCUAAUCCCGAAGUGUCUCUGGUUCUAUAUGGGUAAAGAAGAAGACAGUGGUUUAUGGUGACACACUCUUCUCAGCGACGAACAAGGUAUCUCCUCUCCUUUCUGUUUUGAUUCUAUUUCUAUCCUUUUUUGGAUUUUUUUCAUAAACUUGUAUUAUCCUUAUUCUCAUCUUCUUUAAUUAACAGAAGCAGUGAAUGUAAAAUAUUUUUUAUGUUCUCCUUUUUUAGAAGACAUGGUAGUGACAAAGGGGUAGUACUAAUAUAUGCGUAGAUUUCUAAAUUCUAACAUAAAAAAUAUUUGGAUUAAGCAUGUAUUAGAAUGUUAAGUAUUGCAAUAUCAUUUUUCAUCCUUUAUUGUUUAUCAAGCUAAACCAGAAACAUAAUAUAAUUCAAAUCAUCGCUAUUACUAGUUCAUUGCAUAAAAGGAGUUUUGUUCAGGGUGCCUUGUUAUGAAAUCUUGACAAAAUGCCUGCUGGUGCGUUUAAUAAAUAUGUAAAUAUGUUAAAACAUAUUUCAAUUUGCAACUACUUGAAUAGGAUGAAUAGUGUACCUGAGAGUAUACCUUUUUUCCUUUGCUCUUUGAGUGACAACCUUCUGUUCCUUGUUGUUUUUUCUUUGCACUUGCAUGACGUUCUUUGAUUUGUGAUACACGUACAUGUGAUAUUUCCUAAUUUUUGAUAGCUAUAUGUAUUGUGAAUAUGUAUUGUUUGCUUAUAGUUGUGGGAUGGCACUCUUUUUUCUCUCUCUAAUUUUCUGGGUUGUGAUGUAUGUAAGUGAUAUGUCCUUUUUUCUCUCUUUUUCUUAUGGUUGUGUAUGCGUAUAUGUAAUCUGGUCUUUGUUCUCUCUCUGAUUUCCUUAUGGUUGUGUGUUGUGUUUGUUCUCUUUGUGAUUAAGUAUGUCUUUCUGGGUGUAUGCUACAUGGUCCUAUUUAUAACUCGUUAUCCCAUGUAAAGACCUUUUGAGUUUCCCUCAUCUUGGCUUGAUUGUUGCUCUUUUGAUUCAGAUAUCUUUAUGAUACUCAUUAGGUUUUUUGUGUGUGCUAAUUACGUCUUUGUAACUGAAAAGCUCUUGGUUUACCCAUGUUAUAACUCUCCUUGAUAUCCUGCUCCAAAAAAUAUGUCUAACUAUAUUAUAUGUCCCCUUGAUUUCAUAACUGUCCGAAAAAAAUAAUGUGUUGUAAAUCAAUGGAAUAUGUAAUGAAUUUUGGUUGACUGUUACUACUUAUGCAUUAGUUUGCAACCUCCAACUAACUCUUUGUCCCUUCUGAAUUCAUUAUGUGAUUGAUCCGAUUAUGAUUUGCUCAUUAUUCCUGAAAUUUGUGCCUGUUAUGAGAAUAUGCAACUCUGUUUUCACAAAAACCAGUCUGCUGGACUGUUCAUAAGGGAGGGUACCCGUGUAACUCUUGUUCUUUAGCCAUACCUACUUCAAUACCAAUCUCUUUUGCUUUCUGAAUUCAGUUUACUGUUUGCAUCUAGUUUAUUUCUCUUUGGGUUUGGUUUAACAUUGGAUUCUUUUAAUAGUAGGCUUAAGGCUUUUUGAGGACCAUUAUUGAUCAACAAUUCUGGAUAUUGAGUUGGAUACCUCUUAGCUUUCAUUAUAUCACUCCCUUCUCCUUGACAGACCUUUUUGCUAUUAUACCAUGGCACAUGAAAUAAUGCAAGCAUCCCAAGUGUUUAUUUCCUGUCCACUUUUGACAAGUCUUACUUUAGCCUUUGUAUUGGUAUGAGUACACACCAUAAUCUCAAAUGGCAUUUUCCAUCUUGAAUUAUAGGAAACAAACUCAUCCUUUAACAAAAAUAUCUUCUUAACUUGAUGAUUCCCCUAUAUCAGGUACAGUCCUGGCAUGAUCUCCCAGAACAGGAUCGAACAUUGGUGGUGCAAAUCGCUUUCCAACUUGGGUUGAUCUUCAACCUUAUCCAAGAAUGUCUAAAUCAACUUAAGUGUCCUCCGAACAUAGAAGUUUAACGAAGGAUGUUCUAGAUGCAAAAAUAUCCACCUUCAGCAAUACUUUUUUAUAUAAGCUCACUGUACACUAUCUUGUUCUUUUGGAAAAUCAACCUCUUGACGUGCCUGCCCUGUAAUUUCAGUCGUUUCUGACUAGGGAGCCCCAUCAACCGCUAAAGAUAUUCAUUCUUUUUCCAUCAUUUUUAAUCCCAUUCUACUGUUCAUGUGAUCCUCUAGAGGGAAAGUAUUUGUUUGUAUUAAAGGCAAAACCAGUGUCAAGUUCAUGUAGCUUUCGUAUUGUAAGUGAAUGGUUUGUAUUUGCCAACAUUAAAGUUUGAACUUGAGGAGCUUAGAUAUACCUUUUUCAGCUUAGUUUUCUUCCAAUGAUUAUAAUUGGUGUUUGUAUUGAUUAUGAUAAUAUUUGUAACCAAAAAAACUUGAUCAGAGAUAGUUUAUUCACCUUAAUAUUCUAUUUUAAUAAUAUUGGUCAGUGAUUUACAAUAUUUUUUGAAGUAAUAACUAAUUGUCUUUUUCGUAUAUGUAUGACCAAGUUGUGUUAUAUAUGGAAAACUAUAGCGUAUGAGUUUCUG
RNAcentral lists this long non-coding RNA (2772 nucleotides) under Lupinus angustifolius (narrow-leaved blue lupine). RNAcentral's name for it is "long non-coding RNA (LANG_LNC000194)". The record is from RNAcentral. Lineage: Eukaryota; Viridiplantae; Streptophyta; Magnoliopsida; Fabales; Fabaceae.